This 240-nucleotide ribosomal RNA is filed under the name uncultured bacterium. RNAcentral's name for it is "partial 16S ribosomal RNA". It matches the Rfam family "Bacterial small subunit ribosomal RNA", at positions 92 to 334 of the family's 1533-position model. The record is from RNAcentral.
UUAGUGGCGACCGGGUGCGUAACACGUAGCUGACCUGCCCCUCAGCGGGGACAACAGAGCGAAAGCUUUGCUAAUACCGCAUACGCUUGGGAUGACUAGAAGGUUCCAAGGAAACUUACGGGGUUGAGGGAGGGAGCUGCGGCCCAUCAGGUAGUUGGCGAGGUAACGGCUCACCAAGCCAGCGACGGGUAGGGGGCCUGAGAGGGUGGUCCCCCACACUGGGACUGACACACGGCCCAG